Molecule: ribosomal RNA, 476 nt
Filed under: uncultured Caldilineales bacterium
Lineage: Bacteria; Bacillati; Chloroflexota; Caldilineae; Caldilineales
Description: bacterial SSU rRNA
Rfam family: Bacterial small subunit ribosomal RNA
Source: RNAcentral
GAUGAACGCUAGCGGCGUGCCUAACACAUGCAAGUCGAACGUGAAGCGGUUAUUUGUGCCAUCGUGUACAGAUGGCCGUGGAAAGUGGCGGACGGGUGAGUAACACGUAGAUAACCUGCCUCAAAGAAGGGGACAACCAUUGGAAACGAUGGCUAAUACCGUAUGGUCUUGGAUAGAUGGGAAUUGUUCAAGUAAAGCUUCGGCGCUUUGAGAGGGGUCUGCGGCUGAUUAGCUGGUUGGUGGGGUAAAAGCCCACCAAGGCGAUAAUCAGUAGCUGGUCUGAGAGGACGAUCAGCCACACGGGAACUGAGACACGGUCCCGACUCCUACGGGGGGCAGCAGUGAGGAAUAUUCGUCAAUGGGGGAAACCCUGAACGAGCAACGCCGCGUGGAGGAAGACGGUCUUUGGAUUGUAAACUCCUUUUCUGUGGGAAGAGAAAGGACGGUACCACAGGAAUAAGUCACGGCUAACUACG